UCUAUCUGCGCUGCGGCUGGGGCACGGCUAUCUCCAAGCGCCAAGGUAACACAUGGAAACGCGUCUCUGCACCCGAUGGAUGCCAAGAACAUCAGGGGAAUUGAAAAGAACUUGUUUCAUGAUUUAUUUGCCAUAACUUAAAAGGCAAAAAUCUAUUAAACAUCCAUCGAGUAUUCAGACACACAAUUGUUGACUUUUCCGAGCCACAGAAUGGAUGAUGGUUCCGCUUGUACGAGCACCGUGACAAAUGAUCAGAAGUCAAAGACGAUCCAAGACUAAUGAUGUCCAGUGGAAGGCAGCAAGAGCUGUGGCAUCUGCUCCACUUUGUUCUCUCCCCAAUGCCACAUGCCACAUGCCACAUAUGCCAAAUAAAUCGUCACACUUUUCAGUGUCAGAAUAGAAGAUAGAAACCGACGACAGUUGUCAGUCAGCCCCGCCGUGUGCACGCCUCGGAAACACGAGACGAAUCCCGCAGGGUCUUCAGUGGCUCCUCUGGAGCUGCAUCAAUGGGAGCUGUCAAUACGAAGGCUGCCUGCGACAAUUGCACGGCUCAUUUGUGUGGCUUGGGCAGGGGACAUGGCAUGUCACCAAUCAGCAGACAACAAACAACUGCAACAGAACGGAGAGAGAGAGAGAGAGAGAGAGAGAGAGAGAAAGUGACAACCUGACACUAGAAGCCCAGAAUCCCAGAAUCCCAGAACCAGUCAUCAGAUCAUCAGCUCCUGUCCUCUGCAAUUGGAUGCAAGUUUUGGAGUGCUCCCCAGAGAACGCAAUUAGCCGCGCUGAAGCAAAAGCGCCACAUUUCUCGACUAGUUUCCCCACAACAUUUUCAUAUGCAAAACAUGUUUUUACGCUCACAAAUUUAUAUUUCACAAAAUUGAUAGAAAACUUUUGUCCAGCUAGCGCAUAAUUAACACUCCCUUAGCCCGAACGGGCUUCCUCUCUCUGCCACUCUGAUUUCUACCCGUAAUGUUUUUCGCAUAAAUUAUACAAAAUAUAAUUUCUCAGAGGUC
Molecule: long non-coding RNA, 1013 nt
Organism: Drosophila guanche
Lineage: Eukaryota; Metazoa; Arthropoda; Insecta; Diptera; Drosophilidae
Exons: 2
Source: RefSeq, a predicted model, not a curated record